Long non-coding RNA from Amborella trichopoda, 654 nucleotides. RefSeq lists it as uncharacterized. The record is from RefSeq and is a predicted model, not a curated record. NCBI's taxonomy places the organism in Eukaryota, Viridiplantae, Streptophyta, Magnoliopsida, Amborellales, Amborellaceae.
CACCCUGUCAGCCACUCUCUCUCCCUGUUACUCUCACCCUUCUCUCUACGCCAUUUUCCCAGUCUCUCUGCCCCCGUCAACUACUCUCUCUCCCUGUUACCCUCACCCUUCUCUCUCUACGCUCAGCCAGUACCCAUUUUGCUACUCUCUCUCCCUGUUACCCUCACCCUUCUCGUUCUACACUCAGCCAUUACUUCUCUCUCUACGCUCAGAGACCAUAGCAGCUCUCUCCACACCAGCAACUACUAUACCCUCUCGCCACACAGAGGUCGAAAAGAUGUGCCUCCUUGCUGUUGCAGGUCGAAAAGAUACGCCACAGAAGAUGCAACAAAUUUUUUGAAGAAGAUUUUAUUGUAUGGAAAUGAUUCAAGAGUAAAAGAUUCAACAGUCAUUUUUUGUUUUUAGCUUAUGUAAAUGUCAUGUGCUAAUUGUGUUGUAUGGACAUGGGGACAUUAAAGAGUCAUUUUUUCAGUAAACUAACAGUGUUGAAUCAAAGAGUCAUUUUUUGUCAUGUGGUGAAUGUGCUGAUUGUGUUGUAAGCACGAUGUUUGAAGUGACGGUGUUUGUUAUAGAGGGGCUAUUGUUCGAAAUCCAUCAUUUUUGUACGAGCUGAAAUUUGAAUGGGAAACUGAAAAGUGAUAUUGAAAUUGAAAA